RNAcentral lists this long non-coding RNA (5843 nucleotides) under Brassica napus (rape). Its description in RNAcentral is "long non-coding RNA (BNAP_LNC022483)". The record is from RNAcentral. Lineage: Eukaryota; Viridiplantae; Streptophyta; Magnoliopsida; Brassicales; Brassicaceae.
AGAGAAGGCAGUGAAGAUCUUCCCUCGUCCCGCCUCUGGAUCUCUCCGACCUGUUGUUCAUGGACAGACUAUUAAGUACAAUAUGAAAGUCAGAGCCGGGAAAGGAUUCACUCUCGAAGAGCUUAAGGUCUCUGUUUUUUUUUUGUUAAGUUUCACUUUCUUUGAAAGAUGUAAUGAUGAAAACUAAUAAUGUUUGGGUUUAAAUCAGGCUGCUGGUAUUGCUAAGAAGUUGGCUUCGACGAUCGGUAUCUCAGUUGAUCACCGUCGUAAGAACCAUUCCUUGGAGGGUCUUCAAUCCAAUGUACAAAGGUUGAAGACUUACAAGGCCAAGUUGGUUGUCUUCCCUCGCAGAUCACGUGUUGUCAAGGUACUAUACAUUCUACACUAGAUGUCUUUGAGUUUUUGUUAUGUUAUGACAAUCUCUUGUUGUUUUGCAGGCUGGUGAUUCUACUCCAGAGGAGCUUGCUAAUGCAACUCAAGUCCAAGGAGAUUACAUGCCUAUUGCUGGAGAGAAGGUUGCAAUGGAGCUUGUGAAGGUGACUUCUGACAUGAAGGCAUUCAAGGCUUAUGACAAGAUCCGUCUAGAGCGCACUAACAAACGCCAUGCUGGUGCCAGAGCCAAGAGAGCCGCCGAUGCUGAGAAAGAAGAGAAGAAAUAAGAUUCUCUCCAUACUUACUUUUAAUACAUUCUUGAAUUCUUCCUUUUCCGUGAUCUUUAUUUUUUGCAAGACUUUUUUUAAGGGAUUCAUCGAUCCUACUUUUUUCUGGUUUUAUGGAAACAGAUUAUAAUAGUCUAACCAUCUCAUAAUGUCCAAAAGAUUAUUUAUCAAUGGUGCUUAUAAACAUGGUGGUAUUAUUUGCCAUGAAUACUUAGCUAUCAUGGAGUGUUUAUUUGCCAAUGAAUGUACCAUGCCGAGGCAGCUGUAACAUGUCAACUAGAGUGUUUGUAAGCACAUCACAAAGAUGUCAAAAUGUUGCAAUUUUGAAUUCUGAUAUACAGUAUUGGCCAUCGCAUCACAUUAUUCUCUUUUAUUUUAAUUUUUUUUAAAAGCAAAACUACAAACAAAACAAAGUUUAAGAACUUAUCUCAGGUCUUGAACCUCUGAGAGAUCUUGCCAACUCCAUCUCUACACUCCUCAGCCAUUCUCUUCACCUUAUCACCUACCUGAGCUGUUCCUUUCUCAACCUCCUUCACUGCUCCUUUUGCACUAACAAUGGCUGCCUCUCUCAUCUCUCCCACUCGUUUCCCUAAACUCUCUACGUAUUCCUUCAAAACCAUAAUCCAUAAACGUAUUUUCUCCAUCACAAUGAAGAUCACUUCCCGGGAUUUUCCUCCCACAGUGUAUGCCAUCUCCUUCAGCUUACCGAUAAGUGUUUGGGGCCUCUCCUCGGUUGAAUAAACCGAGGAUGGCUCUACCGUGUUAAGCAAUACGCUUUGUUCUACAUCCUCUUGAAGAUCUUUGUCAACAAUAACUCUUAGUCCAUUCGUUUCCCAUCGCUUUCUAGCCUCUUCUAACGCCCUGGCUUGUUCUCUAGCUCUCUUUCCUUCCUCCUCGGCCCAUGAUCUGAACAAAUAACACAUGAAGAUUCAGACACUAGCAGAUAGAUUCUUUGACAUUGUAAAAAAAGCCGUAGAUCCAAUGAUUUAUAAGUAGAGAGAAACAAACUUACUUGUCUGCUGUGUUUAAAAACUUAAGAUACUCUCCAACAGCAGAAUUCUGCAACAUUCCAAAUAUUUUUAUAAAAAAUUGUCUAUUAGGCAGCUAUCAGAUAUAUAGAGAUAUUACAUAAUCACAUUAAUAUUUGAUAUAAAAAGAACAAUUUAAACUAUGCUUGUUAGCUCUUCAUACCUUCAGUUUAGAGCUGUGUGCACUGAAUGUCUUCCAAGGAGUACAGGCAAUCUUUGAAGGCAUACUUCUCUCAGGUGUUUUUAGCUCAGCUUCAGCGGUAAUCUCGCUAUGUUGUGGUAGCUCUUCAACAUAAGAUUUAGUUAGGGCAGUUUGAUACUUCUCAGGCGGGGAUGGAUGGUUUGAGGUAUUGCAUAGCGACUUUAAAGUCAUGGAAAGUUCUCGAAGCUGCAUGCUGAGCGGAGGUGAUGCAGUUUCAUUGGCUAGAAAAUAGUUGUUCUCUUUCUCCAAGCUUUCUCCUACAAUCAAGAGAGGUGCCAGAAAUUAAAAUAAGUUUUAUGUAUAUUAUAGCUUCUUACAUUAAUUAUCAUUAAACUCACAAUCUACCUGCAUUAACUAGAGUCGGAUUUUCUUCAAUGACUGAACGGUAUUCACCUCUCUCUACUAUUUUGGCUGCAAUAGAAAGAACAAAUAUAAUAAGAGCUAAAUUCCCAGAAAAUCAAACUUGUAUAUCAACUUUCAAGUUUUACCUUUGCAUGCAAUAGCAUCAUCACAAUAAAUGUCUUCUAAAACCUCUUCCUCAUGUUUCAGGGGUGUCUCCUGAAGGUUAAUGAAAGAGAUGUCAGUACUAUAUGGAUAUUUAGAUGUUGAAAUAAAACAUAAACCUAUAAAAACUACCUUGUGUGUAGGGUCAGAAACUUUUGAGACGAAAGAAGCAGUGGUUGCAUAGCUCUAGAUAUGAAAGAAGAAAUAUUAGAGAUUUUGUUCAAGCAGAAACUAAACAAAGGAAACAAUUGUUUGAGAUGCAGAGAAAUUGUAGAUGUACCAGUUCCAUGGCUAUUUCUGAACUUGAUAAAGCUGGGACAGAGUGAUCCUGCUAGAGAAUCACUGUUAGCAUUGAACCACUGAAUGUAAAUAUGUUUUGAUGAUGUUCAUCUAGGUCAUACGUUAUUAUGAAAUAUUACCUCUUCUACCGUUGAAGAUUGAGAAUCUGUAACCAUUACUGAAGAACAGACUUCCUACAUUAAAUAAUAAAAUAGUUGGUAAGUAAUGCCUUUGUAAUAAAUAUCCUCCACACAGCUCCAUAUAGUUAAAGGUAGAAAGAAUUUACUUCUUCAGAUGAGGAGGCCUGAACUUUCAAGACAACUUUUGGAGUGGAGAUUUCCUGCAUUAAAAAUAAACACAAGUGUUAUUCGCAGUGAGAAAGGAAUCUGAAGAGAAUUAUUCUAACCAUUCAGAAUAAGGAGCUCUACCUUUUUCACUGCCACUCUUGAUUUGCCUUCCAUCUACAACAUCCAAAACAGUAUAACUAAACUAUUUCUGAACAUUUAUUAGAAUAAGAACACGUGAUAAAUUACCUUCUUGGAGCUAUUUUUACAUUUCAACGAAUCAUUUGCUUCACCAAACAGUUUCCUUCAAUCAUAUGAGAAAAAAAUAAAUAUUAUUGUUAUGUGAUGUUCUGAAACUGAUAACAUAGUGAUUCUGAGGCUUAGAGAUGAUACUAAGUUCGUUAUGAAAGUAUAGAACUUUACCUUCCUUUAAUUGCAGAAGCUGGAGUAUUGAGCUUAGACUUUCUCUCUGUCACACUUUUUCUUAUCCCUGUCUGUUGCCUAGAAGUAGCAGACACAGCCAAAGGUGUGUUUUUCUUUUGAGCGGCAGAUGAUGAUGAAAGAGAUCCAGCAGGACAUUUGCUCUUCUUAGUAGCAUUAGUCAUGGAUUGUUUACUGCCUAGACAGAUCCGUGAUGCUAAGUUUAGCAUGUAAAAUGAGUCUUGGCUAAAUUCUCGCGGCUUAAACAAGAAACUAAAUGGUUAGCAAUUACAACUUUAACAGUCAUUAAAGCAUCAAUCAACUCAACAGCCAGUAAAGUAUAUACCAGACAAGUGAUCAGCAACGUUCUGUUGCAUCCUUGUAAACAAUCUUUCAGCAUGUGAGUGAGUUUGCUCUCCCUGUAUGGCACAUGAGAUUCAUUUGCAUUGAUAGCAUACAUGACGUUCUGUAAAGCAUAUAUCGAUUUAUUUAUCCUGGUAAUCUCUGGAGGAGCUAGAUCACUGCAUUGUUUUCUAGAGUCCUCAUAUCCUGCCAGAGGAAGACAAGAAAACACCCAUCAGAUGCUAACAGAAGAUUACCACACAGAAAAUAUAACUAACAAAGUGAUAUAAAAAACAAUCAACCUGCCAUAUCAAGAAAAUUCAUCCUCCCAAAGGAUCCCGAAUUAGCUUCCCCCUUGGUAACAUGUAUCAUCACACCUCUAUGGCUCCUAAGAGGAGGGUCGUUGACCAGCUUCUGGAUUUUGUUGAGCCCGAAAUACACCUCUUGAAAUCCCGAGAGUGACUUCACAGGUACCUGAAAGCAGAAACUUUGAUUCAUCAAUGAUGUUAUACCAAGACUUAAUGCUCCAUAACACUAAAUGACUUGCCUUCGAAAGUCCUUUUAGCUGAAUCUUCCCUGGUGGACCUUCCAAUACAGAAACCACUCGCUUCUCUUUGUCUAAGACGUCAUAAACAGUUUCUUGAGAGACUUCGUAAAACGAAACCGAAACUGAGUCUCCUCUUUCCUCAGCCAUGGAUAGCAUCUCAGCCAUUGAAAGGAUGACCAAACCAGGUUCCCACUCAGAUCCCUACAAACCAAAUCACACGAUAACUCCAUUAGCAUUUUUCAUCUACCGUGACUGAUGAUUAGUUCAUUUCAAUACCUGAAUAAGAAGCGUUUUCCCGCUACAUCUUGCUCCAUGAGCAAUCACAUUAGCAUCUUUACCCUCAAAGACACUAGAGAUGAGAGGUUUAAUCUCCUUGGCGAGAAUCGAACUCGCGGAUUCGUUUUCUUCGUAGAAAUAAUCCAAUUCACAUGAGUCUUUCGAACUGCAACAACAUAUACACAAAUAGAGAGAACGAGAAAUCAAAAUACGUAUGUAUGAGAAUCGGAAUCUCCAGAUGUAACUCCUUUCAAAAUCAGCGAGGUAAGAUAGAGAAUUACCCAGCGAAUUGAGCUCCGAAGGAAAUCGAAACCGUCUCCGAUUGAUCUCUCUUGUGAACAGAUACAGAUGACGCUGACGAAGCUUCUACAGCCGGAUCCGACGACGACGGCUUCACCCUAGCUACCACGCGUACAGCCUUGCUCAUCGAUUUCGUCUCCAUCAAUCGGAUUUGUGAGAGAGAGAGAGAGCCGUUACGGAAAAUUUUCAAAUUCGCUGACGCUCCUUCGAUAGAUGUCUGUUCACUUCACUGUUAUUAUCUGGUGUAUAUAGGAAGCUUACCACUUGUUUGGAUUCCAAAACGUCACCGUUUUAAAUAGUUUGUCGGGUCUAAUUCGCGGAGAAAUAAACAUGAAAAGGAGAUCGGCCCAUAUAAAGCCCAAUAGUAAUAUCAGGGCUUUUUAAUGAGUGACAUCUAAAAUCCGAGAAGAAGAAGCCCUAGACAUUUCUGUCCAGCCGCUGGAGGAGGAAGAAGAAGAAGCUGUGAGUGACCCUAUCUCUCUCUCUAUCUAUCAUCGUCAUUGUAUGAACUCUGAUUUGUUCUUACAUUUAUAUGAUCUCAUAUUGAAUUUUGUUCUUUUAUUAUUUCAGCUAAGGUGAGAAGAUGAAGCAUAAUAAUGAGAUCCCUGGAUCACACUUCAGGAAGCACUGGCAGAACUCUGUUAAGACAUGGUUUAACCAACCCGCCAGGAAAACCAGGAGAAGAGUUGGUUAGUUACAUCAGUUUUAGGUUUAGUUAUGUAAUGUUUGUCUCUUGAUAAGACUCUUAUGUGUGAUGAACUGAUGAUGGUUUGUCUUUCUUUUUAUUCAGCGAGACAAGAGAAGGCAGUGAAGAUCUUCCCUCGUCCCGCCUCUGGAUCUCUCCGACCUGUUGUUCAUGGACAGACUAUUAAGUACAAUAUGAAAGUCAGAGCCGGGAAAGGAUUCACUCUCGAAGAGCUUAAGGUCUCUGUUUUUUUUUUGUUAAGUUUCACUUUCUUUGAAAGAUGUAAUGAUGAAAACUAAUAAUGUUUGGGUUUAAAU